UGACGGAGCGAAGCGACGUCAAAGCGUUCAUUAAAGUCGAGUUGGCUUAGGGAUACGUUCGUUGGGUAGGGGAGCGUUCUGUAAGCCUGUGAAGGUGUGUCGUGAGGCAUGUUGGAGGUAUCAGAAGUGCGAAUGCUGACAUAAGUAACGAUAAAGCGGGUGAAAAGCCCGCUCGCCGGAAGACCAAGGGUUCCUGUCCAACGUUAAUCGGGGCAGGGUGAGU
This 223-nucleotide ribosomal RNA is filed under the name Salmonella enterica. RNAcentral's name for it is "partial 23S ribosomal RNA". It matches the Rfam family "Bacterial large subunit ribosomal RNA", at positions 1187 to 1384 of the family's 2925-position model. Lineage: Bacteria; Pseudomonadati; Pseudomonadota; Gammaproteobacteria; Enterobacterales; Enterobacteriaceae. The record is from RNAcentral.